CAAAGGCUUGGUCCUGACUUUACUGUCUGCUUUAGCCAUAUUUACACAUGCAAGUAUCCGCCCCCCUGUGAGAAUGCCCAUAUUCUCCUAAAUGGAGAUAAGGAGCUGGUAUCAGGCACACUUACUUAGUAGCCCACAACACCUUGCUUAGCCACACCCCCAAGGGAAUUCAGCAGUGAUAAAUAUUAAGCCAUGAGUGAAAACUUGACUUAGUUAAAGCUAAGAGGGCCGGUAAAACUCGUGCCAGCCACCGCGGUUAUACGAGAGGCCCAAGUUGACAGAAAACGGCGUAAAGCGUGGUUAAGGACAAUUCAAACUAAAGCCGAACACCUUCAGGACUGUUAUACGUUUCCGAAGGAACUGAAGCCCAACUACGAAAGUGGCUUUAUAAAACCUGAACCCACGAAAGCUAAGAAACAAACUGGGAUUAGAUACCCCACUAUGCUUAGCCCUAAACUUUGAUUGUUUAAUACACUAAACAUCCGCCCGGGAAUUACGAACAUCAGUUUAAAACCCAAAGGACUUGGCGGUGCUUUACAUCCACCUAGAGGAGCCUGUUCUAGAACCGAUAACCCCCGUUAAACCUCACCCUCCCUUGUUUAUUCCGCCUAUAUACCACCGUCGUCAGCUUACCCUGUGAAGGUUUAAUAGUAAGCAAAAUUGGUAAAACCCAGAACGUCAGGUCGAGGUGUAGCACAUGAGAGGGGAAGAAAUGGGCUACAUUCACUAAUUGUAGUGAACACGAAUGGGAUAUUGAAAUAUAUCCCUGAAGGAGGAUUUAGCAGUAAGUAGGAAGUAGAGUGUCCCACUGAAAAUGGCUCUAAAGCGCGCACACACCGCCCGUCACCCUCCCCAAGCACCAAAUUCCAUCUUUAACUUAAAAAUAUCACCCGCUCUUAGGGGAGGAAAGUCGUAACAUGGUAAGCGUACCGGAAGGUGCGCUUGGAAUAAC
This 952-nucleotide non-coding RNA is filed under the name Remora australis (whalesucker). Its description in RNAcentral is "partial 12S ribosomal RNA". It matches the Rfam family "Bacterial small subunit ribosomal RNA". Lineage: Eukaryota; Metazoa; Chordata; Actinopteri; Carangiformes; Echeneidae. The record is from RNAcentral.